RNAcentral lists this long non-coding RNA (522 nucleotides) under Mus spicilegus (steppe mouse). Its description in RNAcentral is "lncRNA (ENSMSIG00000027775.1)". Lineage: Eukaryota; Metazoa; Chordata; Mammalia; Rodentia; Muridae. The record is from RNAcentral.
CUCAGCCUACACCUCGUCUUGCUUUCAAGCCUCCCUACACAAUGCGCUCUUGCCAGCACUUCAGGAUUCAGCUUAGCGGCGUGAUUCAGGCUGUUUCCAUUUUCCGAAUCAUCUUUCCCCACCCGAGAACCAUCGUCUGCCCUCACUUUGGCGGCAGCUGGAUCUGGAACAUACAAUGGUGAGGUGAACUCAUAGCUGUAACCAGACUGCAUAUACUCAUUAGACCAAGUCACUGGCAAUAGUGAUGGAGAAAAUCAGAUUGGGAGAGAUAAGGGAGAGAAGUAAAGGAAGAGAACAAAUACUAUCUGAAUUUUGGGGAAUCAGCUACAAAGAGGCUUAUCUUGGGUGGCGCAGCUCGCUUCAUCAGGAACAUUAUUUGGCCUGCUUGAUCGGCUGGAGGCAGCUGGACUCUCUCCUCACACUUCCCUCAUGGAUCUCAGUGCUCAGAGAGCAUAGUAGGCACUGGCCAAACAGUUCCUAGGGAAAAAAAUGGAGUGAAUAAAUGUGGAGACUUAUCCUUCA